CCCUUAGAUGUCCUGGGCCGCACGCGCGCUACACUGACAUGUUCAACAAGCCUCCUAGUUCGACAGGAUUUGGGAAAUCUUUGAACGCAUGUCGUGAUAGGGAUAGAUCAUUGCAAUUAUUGAUCUUGAACGAGGAAUUCCUAGUAAACGCGAGUCAUCAGCUCGCAUUGAUUACGUUCCUGCCCUUUGUACACACCGCCCGUCGCACCUACCGAUUGAAUGUUUCGGUGAAGAUUCCGGAUAGGACUUUUUUGAUUUAUUUCAAUUUUGUCUUAAAAGCUAUCUAAACCUCAACAUUUAGAGGAAGGUGAAGUCGUAACA
Molecule: ribosomal RNA, 321 nt
Filed under: uncultured eukaryote
Lineage: Eukaryota
Description: partial 18S ribosomal RNA
Rfam family: Eukaryotic small subunit ribosomal RNA
Source: RNAcentral